RNAcentral lists this ribosomal RNA (452 nucleotides) under uncultured bacterium. RNAcentral's name for it is "bacterial SSU rRNA". It matches the Rfam family "Bacterial small subunit ribosomal RNA", at positions 340 to 783 of the family's 1533-position model. The record is from RNAcentral.
UACGGGAGGCAGCAGUGGGGAAUAUUGCACAAUGGGCGCAAGCCUGAUGCAGCCAUGCCGCGUGUAUGAAGAAGGCCUUCGGGUUGUAAAGUACUUUCAGUCGUGAGGAAGGUGUUAAGGUUAAUAACCUUAGCAAUUGACGUUAGCGACAGAAGAAGCACCGGCUAACUCCGUGCCAGCAGCCGCGGUAAUACGGAGGGUGCGAGCGUUAAUCGGAAUUACUGGGCGUAAAGGGCACGCAGGCGGUUAAUUAAGUUGGAUGUGAAAUCCCCGGGCUUAACCUGGGAAUGGCAUUCAAGACUGGUUAGCUAGAGUCUUGUAGAGGGGGUUAGAAUUCCAUGUGUAGCGGUGAAAUGCGUAGAGAUGUGGAGGAAUACCGGUGGCGAAGGCGGCCCCUGGACAAAGACUGACGCUCAUGUGCGAAAGCGUGGGGAGCAAACGAGGGAUUAGAU